This 465-nucleotide ribosomal RNA is filed under the name Vreelandella stevensii. Its description in RNAcentral is "partial 16S ribosomal RNA". It matches the Rfam family "Bacterial small subunit ribosomal RNA", at positions 338 to 795 of the family's 1533-position model. Lineage: Bacteria; Pseudomonadati; Pseudomonadota; Gammaproteobacteria; Oceanospirillales; Halomonadaceae. The record is from RNAcentral.
CCUACGGGAGGCUGCAGUGGGGAAUAUUGGACAAUGGGGGCAACCCUGAUCCAGCCAUGCCGCGUGUGUGAAGAAGGCCCUCGGGUUGUAAAGCACUUUCAGUGAGGAAGAACGCCUGGUGGUUAAUACCCAUCAGGAAAGACAUCACUCACAGAAGAAGCACCGGCUAACUCCGUGCCAGCAGCCGCGGUAAUACGGAGGGUGCGAGCGUUAAUCGGAAUUACUGGGCGUAAAGCGCGCAUAGGUGGCUUGAUAAGCCGGUUGUGAAAGCCCCGGGCUCAACCUGGGAACGGCAUCCGGAACUGUCAAGCUAGAGUGCAGGAGAGGAAGGUAGAAUUCCCGGUGUAGCGGUGAAAUGCGUAGAGAUCGGGAGGAAUACCAGUGGCGAAGGCGGCCUUCUGGACUGACACUGACACUGAGGUGCGAAAGCGUGGGUAGCAAACAGGAUUAGAUACCCUUGUAGUC